GCCAGGUGUGGUGGCGCACGCCUGUAGUCCCAGCUACUUGGGAGGUUGAGGUGGGAGGAUUGCUUGAGCUCAGGAGGUAGAGGCUGCAGUGAGCUAUCGUUGUACCACUGCACCCCAGCCUGGGUGACAGAGCAAGACCCUGCCUCUA
Unclassified non-coding RNA from Pongo abelii (Sumatran orangutan), 148 nucleotides. It matches the Rfam family "Metazoan signal recognition particle RNA". From Rfam's summary of the family: The signal recognition particle (SRP) is a universally conserved ribonucleoprotein. It is involved in the co-translational targeting of proteins to membranes. The record is from Ensembl. NCBI's taxonomy places the organism in Eukaryota, Metazoa, Chordata, Mammalia, Primates, Hominidae.